RNAcentral lists this long non-coding RNA (1127 nucleotides) under Oncorhynchus kisutch (coho salmon). Its description in RNAcentral is "lncRNA (ENSOKIG00005034820.1)". The record is from RNAcentral. Lineage: Eukaryota; Metazoa; Chordata; Actinopteri; Salmoniformes; Salmonidae.
GAGGGGAGUGAAGUCACUCAGACACCCACCAUACUCUGGGAACUGAAAGACAGUGAUGCUCUGAUGAACUGCAAUCACACUAAGGGAUCUACCUACACCCAGAUGUACUGGUACAGACAGCUUCCAGGAGAGGGAAUGAAGCAGGUAGUUUACACAAGUAGUUAUAGCGAUCCAGAAUAUGGAGACUUCAGUAAAGACAAAUAUCCAACUGUUAAGGGCUAUAGCUGAGAGUGGAUCUUUCACAGUGAAGAAGAAGUUGGAGACAGGAGACAGUGGAAUGUACUUCUGUGCUGUGAGUGAACACAGUGAUACAGACAACAAGUACAGCUGCACAAAAACCCCAGUAUUUCAAUAGGAUGUAAUAUAAUAUGUAAAUAGAUGGUCUCAUCACAUACUGUAGGGGACCUCUAACUCUAGUUCUUCUAAUGUCUGAUGGUUACAUUGUCAUGAUCAUGUAAUCAGUCAUGUUCACAGUGAGGUCCUAUGAGCAAGCUUUACAGUACAGGCUUCCUGACACUCCUUCUAACACUGUCACUAUCCUCCACCCUGAGGAAACAUGCUACUACAACAGCCAAUCUCCUUUCACCUCAGAGCUUCACCCAGGAGACACUCAUAUCACAUCCUCAUCAUCAUCGUCUUCCUCAGCAUAUUCAUCAUCUUCAUCAUCAUCAUGAUAUUUUUCUUCAUCAUGAUGUUCAGAGUUCUGAUUCACCUGGCAGCUCUACCACUCUGGGUGACAGGGCAGUUGUUUAGUAGCAUGGUUCAUCAGAGGCCUGUGGCACUAACAGAAGGUCCUGGAGGAGACGUUCAACUCACCUGCAGCCAUACGAUCCCUAACUACUACGUGAUACUAUGGUACAAACAGUCAGCAGGAGACACUGCUAUGAAACUCAUUGGUUAUGCAUAUACCAAGUCAAUAACCAUGGAGAAAUCAUUUGAAAAGCACUUUAAUGUGAGUGGAGACGGUGGGAAAGAGGCUUAUCUUCAUCUAGUGAGUCUGAGAGGACCUGAACACAGUGCAGUUUAUUACUGUGCAGCCAGCCAACACAGUGAUGUAGACUUCCUCCUGCUCUCUACUAAAACCCUGUCUGAUGGUAAUAUUAGACCACGGCUCAGAACACCUGCAU